This 359-nucleotide long non-coding RNA is filed under the name Hordeum vulgare. RNAcentral describes it as "long non-coding RNA (HVUL_LNC020388)". The record is from RNAcentral. Lineage: Eukaryota; Viridiplantae; Streptophyta; Magnoliopsida; Poales; Poaceae.
GAUGAUCUCAACUGAUUUGUUGCUGUGAAGUCGAAGCUUGAUGGCGGGGCCUGAUGGUGUACGAUGAAGGGUAGCAGGUGGUCUGUUUGGUGAUCUUUCAGGACGCUAGCCUUGCUUGGUUCUCCUUCAUAGCUCUUCGUUGGUGUCACAGCCUUGUCGUCUUGUCGUAGUGCCUAAGGUCUAGCAGAUGAUCGUCUUUGACAAAGUCGGAGUCAUUUCUCAGAGUUUGGGUUAGCAAUGAUGCCUCUAGGGGAGAAGUGACGACGAUAACAUCGACGCACUGUCUCGACAAGGCCCUCUUUGAAGUGCCGCCUGUGGGUCUUUUGUGGGUGCCGCUCAGCGGUUUGUGAUGGUUUUCG